UGCAGCUGAGGUUUGUCACUGUUACCCGUUGGCUCUCUGUCAGGAAUGCUCAUCUUUUAUGGAUCCGGAGCCCACAGCUUUUAGUGACGCAGUUUGAGCAUACACAAUAAAGCUGUGCUAACCCUAAGAAAUCAAUCGCCCAGAAGUAGCUCCUGGUUGGCAAACAGCAUGGAGACAAUUGUUGCCAACACCCAGCCACCUGACUCUGGGAUGUCUCAUCGUUGACUGAUGUCAUUAGGAACCGUAUUGUUCUUAUCGACCAGGGGUUAAGGAGCUACGGGAGGACACAGCGUGUAAAACCGCUUGCGGGAUGUAAAUAAGAUGGAUGGGGGGCCAGAGCAGCACACUCACCUCGAAAGCUGGUGACUGUGUAGAAAGGCCGCAGUCAGAGCAUACAGCACCCAGCCGUGAGCUCUAAAGAAUUCCUGAAUGACCAGGCCAGUCUACAGACACGGUGUAAGGAGUAAAUGCUAACAGUUACCACACAGCUGCUUGUGCAAACUAUAGACGAUAGAGUCUGGAGUUCGGCAGACCAGCCAAAACGCCACGGUUGCCUCCUGAUGACCUACAUCUGCUCUCUGCCUGGAGCCAAUAAUGCAAGCAGUAUUUUCAUCACGAAGCAUCUAGAGAGAAAAGAUUUCACAACUUCCUAG
RNAcentral lists this long non-coding RNA (653 nucleotides) under Mus spicilegus (steppe mouse). RNAcentral's name for it is "lncRNA (ENSMSIG00000019088.1)". Lineage: Eukaryota; Metazoa; Chordata; Mammalia; Rodentia; Muridae. The record is from RNAcentral.